RNAcentral lists this ribosomal RNA (253 nucleotides) under uncultured bacterium. RNAcentral's name for it is "partial 16S ribosomal RNA". It matches the Rfam family "Bacterial small subunit ribosomal RNA", at positions 524 to 776 of the family's 1533-position model. The record is from RNAcentral.
GACAGUGGUGGCAAGCGUUGCUCGGAUUUACUGGGCUUAAAGGGCGCGUAGGCGGCUUUAUAAGUCCGAGGUGGAAUUCCACAGCUUAACUGUGGACCUGCCUUGGAAACUAUAAGGCUUGAGUCAGGUAGAGGAGGGCGGAGUUCCCGGUGUAGCGGUGAAAUGCGUAGAUAUCGGGAGGAGGGCCGGUGGCGAAAGAGGCCCUCUGGGCCUGUACUGACUAUGACGGGCGAAAGCGUGGGGAGCAAACAGG